AAAAAAGUUAUAUCAACAAGACUAUUAAUACCCUUACUCAGAGAUGAAAUGUUGUUUUCAUUUCUAGAGUCUAUAUGCGUAAUAUGAUCACAAGUUUUAUCUUUAAACUGACACUCGAUUUGCUCCAUAAUGUUUGUCUCGGGUACCUAAGACCGGCCUGUUAUUCUAAUGUCUUCACACAACGCCUAACGUCCUCCCUGGACUCAACGGCAACAAGAAGACAGAUAAACAGAUAUAGGUUUUGAAACAAACAACUGUGAAACAAAUAGAAAUGUAAAUCAAAGAUAAAAACUUACAAUGAAUAUUAGAAUAUUAUUUCUCCAGAAACUCGUUACACCGGCACCUCUGAUACCAAGCGGGGGUGGGGAGGAAGGGUAGUAUAGAGUAUGAGCGGAAGGGAAUAUAGACUCUUUGAUUACAAAAGGAAAAUUUACAAAAGAGAAAACUAAAAAAUAAAGUAGUUGGUAAUUUUCAACAUGAAACGUUUCAAUGCUCAAGAAGCCCUUGAAUAUGGACUCAUUGAUCGUAUUGUCAGACUACGUAUCAAGGCAGAUGCACCUUGCACAGAUGCAGGAGCAGGCCUCGCUGAGUCACUUGAAUCGGUCAGAAAUAGAACAGAGUUGAAGCUACAUAAACAAGCCAUAAACAAAUC
This is a long non-coding RNA of Gossypium raimondii (Peruvian cotton), 652 nucleotides long. RefSeq lists it as uncharacterized. Lineage: Eukaryota; Viridiplantae; Streptophyta; Magnoliopsida; Malvales; Malvaceae. The transcript is spliced from 2 exons. The record is from RefSeq and is a predicted model, not a curated record.